This 841-nucleotide long non-coding RNA is filed under the name Equus asinus (donkey). Its description in RNAcentral is "lncRNA (ENSEASG00005036820.1)". The record is from RNAcentral. Lineage: Eukaryota; Metazoa; Chordata; Mammalia; Perissodactyla; Equidae.
CGGCGCAUGUACCCCAAGCUCUCAACCCCGACUGCCCAGAAUCAAGCCCGGCUUUGAUCCAGAUUCUCCAAUCCAUUUGUUCGUUGGUGUUCUCCGGCUGGUUCUCACAACCUCUCUGUGCCACAUUUCCCUCAUCCGUGAGAAGAGGAGGCUUGCGAGGAGAAAAUGAGAGAAUUCACGGAAAGCCCAGUGCUGACCAGACGGGAGCUGCUGUCCUUAUGAGCCCAUUCAGGGUCCAGAAGGUUGGAGUGGAAGGGGUCAGAGAGAGGCGAGGCAGCCAGAGGAAAUAGAAAUGAUGUUGACAGAAGCUGUCGCUGGAAGAGAAGCUGCCCACAAAACCCACAUCAGGUGGUUCUACACCCUUGCCACAGAUGGGGAAACUGAGGCCCGGAGGCUUAAGGGAGCUCUCCCAGAGCACAGAGAGGGGGUCUCCUCUCGACUUGUCGUGAUGGAUCUUUUUCCUGGAAGUUUUUGCUCAGUCCCCUUCGCUCCCACCAGACCAUGAGCUCCGGGGUCGGCCCCGUGGUCCCAGCACCCAGCCUGGCGCAUAGGAGGGACGUAGUAACUGGGUGAACGGAUGGAUGGAUGGACGGAUGGAUGGACGGACAGACCUCCCUACCUUUCUUCUUCUUGUCGCCAGGAGAGAAAGGAAGGAAAUUUCAAACAACUCUGAGCCGUAGCUCAGCCUGGAGCCGCGGUGACCCCAGCCUCCCUGGCGGGGAGCAUCGACCCAUGGCGGGCGGGCGGGUGCGGCUGCUUUGUGGAGGCGGAGGGCACUGGGGGACCUGCGCCAAGCUGCUCCGCGGCGUCCAGACCCCCCUCCACCUCCACCCCGCUCCCG